Molecule: transfer RNA, 71 nt
Filed under: Bacillus phage vB_BcoS-136
Lineage: Duplodnaviria; Heunggongvirae; Uroviricota; Caudoviricetes
Rfam family: tRNA
About the family: Transfer RNA (tRNA) molecules are approximately 80 nucleotides in length. Their secondary structure includes four short double-helical elements and three loops (D, anti-codon, and T loops).
Source: Rfam by way of RNAcentral
CAAGGUGUGGCGUAAUGGUAACGCAGUACACUGUGAAUGUACGAACGAGGGUUCGAUUCCCUCCAUCUUGA